RNAcentral lists this ribosomal RNA (788 nucleotides) under uncultured Alphaproteobacteria bacterium. RNAcentral's name for it is "bacterial SSU rRNA". It matches the Rfam family "Bacterial small subunit ribosomal RNA", at positions 67 to 918 of the family's 1533-position model. The record is from RNAcentral. Lineage: Bacteria; Pseudomonadati; Pseudomonadota; Alphaproteobacteria.
CGCCCCGCAAGGGGAGUGGCAGACGGGUGAGUAACGCGUGUGGAAUCUACCCUUUUCUACGGAACAACUGAGGGAAACUUCAGCUAAUACCGUAUACGGCCGAGAGGCGAAAGAUUUAUCGGAGAAGGAUGAGCCCGCGUUGGAUUAGCUAGUUGGUGGGGUAAAGGCCUACCAAGGCGACGAUCCAUAGCUGGUCUGAGAGGAUGAUCAGCCACACUGGGACUGAGACACGGCCCAGACUCCUACGGGAGGCAGCAGUGGGGAAUAUUGGACAAUGGGCGCAAGCCUGAUCCAGCCAUGCCGCGUGAGUGAUGAAGGCCCUAGGGUUGUAAAGCUCUUUCACCGGUGAAGAUAAUGACGGUAACCGGAGAAGAAGCCCCGGCUAACUUCGUGCCAGCAGCCGCGGUAAUACGAAGGGGGCUAGCGUUGUUCGGAUUUCUGGGCGUAAGCGCACGUGGCGGACUUUAGUCAGGGGUGAAAUCCCGGGGCUCACCCCGGAACUGCCUUUGAACUGGUGUCUUGAGUUCGAGAGAGGUGAGUGGAAUUCCGAGUGUGAGGUGAAAUUCGUAGAUUUCUGAGGAACACCAGUGGCGAAGGCGGCUCACUGGCUCGAUACUGACGCUGAGGUGCGAAAGCGUGGGGACAAACAGGAUUAGAUACCCUGGUAUCCACGCCGUAACUAUGAGAGCUACCGUCUGGCGUAUACUGUUCGGUGGCGCAGCUGACGCAUUAAGCUCUCCACCUGGCGAGUACGGUCGCCAGAUUAAAACUCAAAUGACUUGACGGUG